UUGUUAUUAUAGGAUGGAGAUACUGCUCUUAUUGUAGCAGCAAGAGGAGGAAACUGUGAUGUUGUAGAAUUACUGCUGAAGAAAGGAGUUGAUUCUUCAGAUUCAAACAAUGAAGGAGAUACUGCUCUUAUUGUAGCAGCAAGAAAAGGAAACUGUGAUGUUGUAGAAUUACUGCUGAAGAAAGGAGCUGAUCCUUCACAUUCAAAUGAUGAUGGAAAUGAUGCUCUUUUUGAAGCAGCAAGAGAAGGACAUUAUGACAUUGUACAGUUGCUAUUGAAUAAUGGAGCUGAUCGAAGUGCUGCAACUGAUGUGAGUAUCAUGUAAUUAAU
This is a long non-coding RNA of Amphimedon queenslandica, 329 nucleotides long. RefSeq lists it as uncharacterized. NCBI's taxonomy places the organism in Eukaryota, Metazoa, Porifera, Demospongiae, Haplosclerida, Niphatidae. The transcript is spliced from 3 exons. The record is from RefSeq and is a predicted model, not a curated record.